This 466-nucleotide ribosomal RNA is filed under the name Ovis aries (sheep). RNAcentral's name for it is "partial 12S ribosomal RNA". The record is from RNAcentral. Lineage: Eukaryota; Metazoa; Chordata; Mammalia; Artiodactyla; Bovidae.
AUAGGUUUGGUCCCAGCCUUCCUGUUAACUUUCAAUAGACUUAUACAUGCAAGCAUCCACGCCCCGGUGAGUAACGCCCUUCGAAUCACACAGGACUAAAAGGAGCAGGUAUCAAGCACACACUCUUGUAGCUCACAACGCCUUGCUUAACCACACCCCCACGGGAGACAGCAGUAACAAAAAUUAAGCCAUAAACGAAAGUUUGACUAAGCCAUAUUGACCAGGGUUGGUAAAUCUCGUGCCAGCCACCGCGGUCAUACGAUUGACCCAAGCUAACAGGAGUACGGCGUAAAGUGUGUUAAAGCAUCAUACUAAAUAGAGUUAAAUUUUAAUUAAACUGUAAAAAGCCAUAAUUAUAACAAAAAUAAAUGACGAAAGUAACCCUACAAUAGCUGAUACACCAUAGCUAAGACCCAAACUGGGAUUAGAUACCCCACUAUGCUUAGCCCUAAACACAAAUAAUUAU